ACGCUGAGGCACGAAAGCGUGGGGAGCAAACAGGAUUAGAUACCCUGGUAGUCCACGCCGUAAACGAUGGAUACUAGGUGUAGGUGCUGAUUGAGGCAUCUGUGCCGUAGUUAACGCAAUAAGUAUCCCGCCUGGGGAGUACGGCCGCAAGGCUGAAAACUCAAAGGAAUUGACGGGGGCCCGCACAAGCAGCGGAGCAUGUGGUUUAAUUCGAAGCAACGCGAAGAACCUUACCAGGGCUUGACAUCCCUCUGGAUGGUAUAGAGAUAUACCAGGCCUGUACUAUUGGUGUACAGGACAGAGGAGACAGGUGGUGCAUGGUUGUCGUCAGCUCGUGUCGUGAGAUGUUGGGUUAAGUCCCGCAACGAGCGCAACCCUUAUCCCUAGUUGCCAGCACGUAGUGGUGGGGACCCUAGGGAGACUGCCGUGGAUAACACGGAGGAAGGUGGGGACGACGUCAAAUCAUCAUGCCCCUUAUGUCCUGGGCUACACACGUGCUACAAUGGCCAGCAACAGAGGGGAGCGAACCGGUAACCCGGAGCGAAUCCCAAAAACCUGGUCUCAGUUCGGAUUGUGGGCCGCAACUCGCCCACAUGAAGUCG
Molecule: ribosomal RNA, 602 nt
Filed under: uncultured bacterium
Lineage: Bacteria
Description: bacterial SSU rRNA
Rfam family: Bacterial small subunit ribosomal RNA
Source: RNAcentral